RNAcentral lists this ribosomal RNA (506 nucleotides) under Microvelia macgregori. RNAcentral describes it as "eukaryotic LSU rRNA". It matches the Rfam family "Eukaryotic large subunit ribosomal RNA", at positions 670 to 1139 of the family's 3401-position model. Lineage: Eukaryota; Metazoa; Arthropoda; Insecta; Hemiptera; Veliidae. RNAcentral also lists the same sequence under 1 other name. The record is from RNAcentral.
GGAGUCCAACGUGUGCGCAAGUCGUUGGGUGAAAAACCCAAUGGCGCAAUUAAGGUGAAGGGAAGUUCUCUUUCCUAGGGAGGAGUGGCGUCUGCCUUCGGGUGGAACCACGCACUCCCGGGGCGUCUCUUGCUCAUUGCGAGCUGAGGUGCACCUAGAGCGUCCACGUUGGGACCCGAAAGAUGGUGAACUAUGCCUGGCCAGGACGAAGCCAGGGGAAACCCUGGUGGAGGUCCGUAGCGGUUCUGACGUGCAAAUCGAUCGUCAGAGCUGGGUAUAGGGGCGAAAGACUAAUCGAACCAUCUAGUAGCUGGUUCCCUCCGAAGUUUCCCUCAGGAUAGCUGGCGCCCAGGUGAGACGAGUCUCAUCUGGUAAAGCGAAUGAUUAGAGGCCUUGGGGUCGAAACGACCUCAACCUAUUCUCAAACUUUAAAUGGAUGAGAACCCCGGCUUGCUUAACUUAGUGAAGCCGGGGCUCGGAUCAGGGUGCCAAGUGGGCCAUUUUUG